Long non-coding RNA from Ostrinia nubilalis (European corn borer), 3382 nucleotides. RefSeq lists it as uncharacterized. The transcript is spliced from 2 exons. The record is from RefSeq and is a predicted model, not a curated record. Lineage: Eukaryota; Metazoa; Arthropoda; Insecta; Lepidoptera; Crambidae.
CAGAGGUGCGUAGAACAAAACUAAAAAAAAAAAAAACCCCUACGCUACAUGAGGUAAGUUCAACCCCCUACGCUACACGAGGUGAGUUCAACCCCCUACGCUACACGAGGUAAGUUCAACCCCCUACGCUACACGAGGUGAGUUCAACCCCCUACGCUACAUGAGGUAAGUUCAACCCCCUACGCUACACGAGGUGAGUUCAACCCCCUACGCUACACGAGGUAAGUUCAACCCCCUACGCUACACGAGGUGAGUUCAACCCCCUACGCUACAUGAGGUAAGUUCAACCCCCUACGCUACACGAGGUAAGUUCAACCCCCUACGCUACAUGAGGUAAGUUCAACCCCCUACGCUACACGAGGUGAGUUCAACCCUCAACCCCUGCCCUGUAGAAGUGGUCAAUGAGUUACUGGACCACGACAUAUCGACACGGUGAACUACGAGGGAGACACGCCCGACGACAUACUGCGCGCCUCGCAGCAGUCCCUCGCAGCUAUCGUCAACCCCCUACGCUACACGAGGUGAGUUCAACCCCCUACGCUACAUGAGGGAAGUUCAACCCCCUACGCUACACGAGGUGAGUUCAACCCCCUACGCUACAUGAGGUAAGUUCAACCCCCUACGCUACAUGAGGUAAGUUCAACCCCCUACGCUACAUGAGGUAAGUUCAACCCCCUACGCUACAUGAGGUAAGUUCAACCCCCUACGCUACACGAGGUAAGUUCAACCCCCUACGCUACACGAGGUGAGUUCAACCCCUGAACCCCUGCCCUGUAGAAGUGGUCAAUGAGUUACUGGACCACGACAUAUCGACACGGUGAACUACGAGGGAGACACGCCCGACGACAUACUGCGCGCCUCGCAGCAGUCCCUCGCAGCUAUCGUCAACCCCCUACGCUACACGAGCCUCAAAUGCCUAGCGGCGCGCACGGUGAAGAACUACCGCCUGCCCUACCGACACGUGGUCCCCACCUGCCUACACUCCACCAUCAUCACGCACUGAGCCGCCAGGUCAGUGACCUCUAUGGUCCCUAGCACCUCCAGAGAUUUGUCCUGCGAUCAACAAGAUCUUUCAAGUCAACCACUCAUUAAAAUUGUAGCUGUGAGAAGCGAUGACGUCAGCGCGAUCUCAACGAAUUCAAAGCACCGGAUUGGUCGGUCGGUUAAAUUUCCACUUUGACAGAUGUCAACAUGUCACCCGGUUUGACAGAUGCAGAUGCGAGCGAAACGGUUGUAGUGUAUUUAGAAUUUGAAAAUUUAUUUUGAGGCUAUUAUAUUGUUUUAGUGCCGAUGCCGACGGGAUUUUUGAGACCAAUUUGAUUUGAAAAUUGGAGCAUUGGAAAAAGCGUGUUUAUCUAAAAGCCAUAUUAAUUUUGCAAGCUUGAUAUUAAAUAUCCUAACGGUACGCACUGUGCGAUUACUAGGCACUUUAUUUAUAAUUUUCAGUGUAUUUAUUUAUGAUUGUGCAAUUUUAGAAGCUAAAUUUGUAUAAAUUCUUCAUUUUGUCGACAUAGAUCUUUUUGAUUUUGAAUUUUACAUUUCUGAUAUGUUUAAGCAUUGAUGAUUUAUAUCAUUUUGAGCAAUAACUUUAUUUUUUCUUACCUACUUAUAUUUUUAUAAAUUUUAAUACUGCCAGGAAUUGACGAUUGUUAGACAAGUUUAUUUAAUAAUUUUUAACUUUAUCCUUUUUAUAAUAGUUUUAUUGUAUUAGGAUAGAACCUACUGGAAUUGCAAAUUGAAUGUAAUGUAAAUAGUAUAAUAUUGUGGAAUAGUAAAUUUCAGUGCUGUGCCGUAUAAGUCAUGUUGAUAUUAAUCUUAUUUCAUCGCAUUGUAGAGUCGAGUCUUUAUUUGAUAGAGAUAAAACUGUGUAUUUGGAGCUUCUUAACUAUGUACAGACGAUGGUACAUCAAGUAUAACACUGUGCCACGUAAUGUAAUACGUGUGAUUUUUCGACAAGAAUUUGUAACUUGAUGUGUUGGCGACUGUAUCUAGUGACGGAACGAAAUAUUUUUUGACAUAGUAAGAAUACUAAUGUGAAUCCGCCAUCACGAUGAUAUUAAAGCUAACUCAAUGUAAUAAUGCUCAAGCUUAUGGUGUAGUCGGUCGAAGUUGCGUCAUUUUUAUUCUGUGUGUGAGUUACUGUACCGGCUAUGAAACAGGAUAGCUGUUGUCGUUUUGUUUUAUUUUUGACCCAUAUAACACAACAAUGGAUCCUUUGAAUGUUACAGGAAAAGCAUUAUUUCUUUACUUUACCAGAAAGUUGUAUUAAAAUAUCAAUGUUAUAUUAUCCACAAAGUUGCCGCGUUCUGUUGGGGAUUAAAAUCAACUUUCACAAUAUUUCAAUUUGGGCACAAACAUAAUAUUUUUAUCUUAACAUAACUUUUGACGGAUACCCAUUGCAUCACACUUAAUUUAGACCUACAAUAGAAUUAUAGUUGGCCAGACAUAAAUCAGAAUCUAAAAAAUAAAGAUUUACAAAAUUGGGCAGUUUACCAUUCAUCUUCCAGUUAGAUUGUUAGAUUUUAAUAAUAAAAAUCUAUAAACUGUAGAAUGAAAUCAGUUACUAACAAUAUUGUCGUCAUAAAUACCUAUUGCUACUAAAUCUACGAAUUUCAUCUUUGAGUUUCAAAACUGUGUCAUGUGUCAACUGCCCAAUAAUUGAAAAUAUCUUUAUGUAACUGGAAUUGAUUGUGAAUAACUUGCUGACCGUAAUGUGCACCAUAGUAAAUGACAAAAUAUUAACGGGCAGGUAUGGUGGCAGGCUUGCCCGCCGGGCAUAAUUCAAACAUAAUACUUAAAGUACGUCGCCCGCGCGUAUGUAUAUGCCAAAACGCUAUGCCAUGUGUAUAAGAUCGAAACCGGUCUCGCGACCAAGUGAUAUUUGCUUUUAGUUACUGAGCCUCUCCAGUCUCUAUUAGGUUAUUUACACACGAAUUACACUAAGGACUAGAAUAACCGUUCAAUUCGUGUGUUAUCGGCCUCUAGUCCUAUUUUGUAUCUUACUACAUUCUGGGUAAAAUAGUUAAUAUCUUUACGUUUUAAUUCGGUUAAUCGAAAUUGAACUUUAUGUGUGUCACCGAGUGAUCAAUUACGUUUAACGCGUUUAUAUCGAUGUAAAAACAAAUUAGAAAAGUAAGUAGAGUAUUAGAAAUUUUAAUUAUACGAAUAAAUUGGUAUUGUAUAUUAGCUAGAUGGGUAAUAUGACAAAUUAAACUAUUAGAACUGAUUCGAAAAUAAAAAUAUUAAUUUUAUAUUUUAAUUGUCAUGAGCGGUAUGCUAUAUAUUAUUGUGUGUAUUUUGUCAUAGUAUAUUUGAAUUUAGUAAUACUGCGUGAUUACAUGAUACUAGUUAUUUUUGAAAUUAAAUAAAAUGCUUUAAAAUA